ACUUCUGCCGCCGUUUUGAACUUUACUCUUUCGCUUUACUGCUAGACAGACAAAAACUAUUUUAAUGUUAUUUUUCACGUUUCUGAUGGUAUCGCUGAUAAGAGUUUCAGAAAAAGGACAUAUGAUCCG
This is a small nucleolar RNA of Caenorhabditis elegans, 129 nucleotides long. Lineage: Eukaryota; Metazoa; Nematoda; Chromadorea; Rhabditida; Rhabditidae. The record is from Ensembl.